RNAcentral lists this long non-coding RNA (476 nucleotides) under Bos taurus (domestic cattle). RNAcentral's name for it is "long non-coding RNA NONBTAT000135". Lineage: Eukaryota; Metazoa; Chordata; Mammalia; Artiodactyla; Bovidae. The record is from RNAcentral.
UAGGGAUAUUAAAUAUACUAGAAGAGAAAUAGAACAGAAAGGUCUUUGGUAGUGAUGUCAUUUAGGUGAAAUUAUUUUUCAACUCAUUUACUGUUGUUACCAUGCUAUCUUAAUAAGGAAAGAGUUUUUCAAAAUAUUCCACCAUUUAAGUCAGAUGAAAUCAAAUUUAGAAGGUGUAAUGAGUUAAACCAAUUUUGGAACUGACACUUCUUCACUACUUUCCAUACUGGUAAAUAUUCCUACGUAACACAUGGGACAAUCCCACGCAUUAUAGUAGUACUGGUGCAUGUUCUAGACUUUUAGGAAUAACCUAAACAUACAGGAAAUUUAAUUAUAUGUAAAUAUAUUGGUGUUGCUUUUCAUUGAACAGUGUCAGAAAAAAUGGACACAGACAUUUCCUUUCUUCAUGCCAAGUACUACAUCACCAUGACUCGACACAUGUCAAAGGCAGGGUAAUGGCAGAUCUUGUUGUCCAA